CCUACGGGUGGCAGCAGUGAGGAAUAUUGGUCAAUGGACGCAAGUCUGAACCAGCCAUGCCGCGUGCAGGAAGACGGCCCUAUGAGUUGUAAACUGCUUUUGUACGGGGGUAAACGCAGAUACGCGUAUCUGGCUUAAAGUAUCCUACGAAAAAGCAGCGGGUAACUUCGGGCCAGCACCCGCGGUAAAUGGGGGGAGGCGAGCGUUAUCCGGAGUUAUUGGGUUUAAAGGGUGCGUAGGCGGUCCGUUAAGUCAGCGGUAAAAUUGCGGGGCGCAACCCCGUCGAGCCGUUGAAACUGGCAGACUUGAGUGGGCGAGAAGUACGCGGAAUGCGCGGUGUAGCGGUGAAAUGCAUAGAUAUCGCGAAGAACUCCGAUUGCGAAGGCAGCGUACCGGCGCCAGACUGACGCUGAGGCACGAAAGCGUGGGGAUCGAACAGGAUUAGAUACCCCAGUAGUC
Molecule: ribosomal RNA, 459 nt
Filed under: uncultured bacterium
Lineage: Bacteria
Description: partial 16S ribosomal RNA
Rfam family: Bacterial small subunit ribosomal RNA
Source: RNAcentral